RNAcentral lists this long non-coding RNA (277 nucleotides) under Vigna radiata. RNAcentral's name for it is "long non-coding RNA (VRAD_LNC013371)". The record is from RNAcentral. Lineage: Eukaryota; Viridiplantae; Streptophyta; Magnoliopsida; Fabales; Fabaceae.
UUUUGUUUUUGUAAGUAUGUUGUGUAUCUUGUCAGUUGGAGUUGUGUCCUAAAUAGAGAGAAAAGAGAACAGACAAGAUGAAAAAAAAAAGAAAAAAUAAAUAAAAUAAAAUACAAAAAAACGAAAAAAUAAAUUGCGUGAAUAAUGGAGUCAAGAAGAGGAUUGAAUUAGAGGUUUUGGGUGUGAUUUGACUGUGUUUACAUUUGUUCCCCAUUGCUCCUUUAUUUCUUUUGGUUUAUAGCUUCUUAUCCAUAUUUAUCCUCCCUUAUCCUUGGCC